Paramuricea clavata is the source of this 214-nucleotide non-coding RNA. Lineage: Eukaryota; Metazoa; Cnidaria; Anthozoa; Malacalcyonacea; Plexauridae. The record is from the annotation of a GenBank genome assembly.
GGAAAAUGAGAUUUCGUCUGAUCUCAUCGCAUUUGGCAAUUUUUUAACGCAACGAAACAAAAAGGUUUCACAUCACAGCCAAAACACCGAUAUUCAAGCUUGAAUAAAGUAAAUCAGAUUCUGUAUAAUCUUAAUACAUACCUUAUGUGCAAUAACAUGUCAAAUUUGGAUUACCUUAUAUUUGGAUAUACACCAGGGGCGGAUCUAGGGUAAG